This 421-nucleotide ribosomal RNA is filed under the name Fusobacteriota bacterium. RNAcentral describes it as "Fusobacteria bacterium partial 16S ribosomal RNA". It matches the Rfam family "Bacterial small subunit ribosomal RNA", at positions 355 to 776 of the family's 1533-position model. Lineage: Bacteria; Fusobacteriati; Fusobacteriota. The record is from RNAcentral.
UGGGGAAUAUUGCACAAUGGACGGAAGUUUGAUGCAGCGACGCCGCGUGGAGGGUGUAGGCCUUCGGGUUGUGAACUCCUUUUUCUCGCGAAAAAGGCACAGUUUUGGCUGUGUUGAUGGUAGUGGGGGAAGAAGCGCCGGCUAACUACGUGCCAGCAGCCGCGGUAAUACGUAGGGCGCGAGCGUUGUCCGGAUUUAUUGGGCGUAAAGAGCUCGUAGGUGGUUCGUCGCGUCUGUCGUGAAAGCCAGCAGCUUAACUGUUGGUCUGCGGUGGGUACGGGCGGGCUUGAGUGCGGGAGGGGUGACUGGAAUUCCUGGUGUAGCGGUGGAAUGCGCAGAUAUCAGGAGGAACACCGAUGGCGAAGGCAGGUCACUGGGCCGUUACUGACACUGAGGAGCGAAAGCGUGGGGAGCGAACAGG